RNAcentral lists this ribosomal RNA (604 nucleotides) under uncultured Hypocreales. RNAcentral describes it as "SSU rRNA". It matches the Rfam family "Eukaryotic small subunit ribosomal RNA", at positions 748 to 1354 of the family's 1831-position model. Lineage: Eukaryota; Fungi; Ascomycota; Sordariomycetes; Hypocreales. The record is from RNAcentral.
GGGGAACCAGGACUUUUACUGUGAAAAAAUUAGAGUGCUCCAGGCAGGCCUAUGCUCGAAUACAUUAGCAUGGAAUAAUAGAAUAGGACGUGUGGUUCUAUUUUGUUGGUUUCUAGGACCGCCGUAAUGAUUAAUAGGGACAGUCGGGGGCAUCAGUAUUCAAUUGUCAGAGGUGAAAUUCUUGGAUUUAUUGAAGACUAACUACUGCGAAAGCAUUUGCCAAGGAUGUUUUCAUUAAUCAGGAACGAAAGUUAGGGGAUCGAAGACGAUCASAUACCGUCGUAGUCUUAACCAUAAACUAUGCCGACUAGGGAUCGGACGGUGUUAUUUUUUGACCCGUUCGGCACCUUACGAGAAAUCAAGGUGCUUGGGCUCCAGGGGGAGUAUGGUCGCAAGGCUGAAACUUAAAGAAAUUGACGGAAGGGCACCACCAGGGGUGGAGCCUGCGGCUUAAUUUGACUCAACACGGGGAAACUCACCAGGUCCAGACACAAUGAGGAUUGACAGAUUGAGAGCUCUUUCUUGAUUUUGUGGGUGGUGGUGCAUGGCCGUUCUUAGUUGGUGGAGUGAUUUGUCUGCUUAAUUGCGAUAACGAACGAGACCU